RNAcentral lists this ribosomal RNA (497 nucleotides) under uncultured bacterium. RNAcentral describes it as "partial 16S ribosomal RNA". It matches the Rfam family "Bacterial small subunit ribosomal RNA", at positions 28 to 507 of the family's 1533-position model. The record is from RNAcentral.
GAUGAACGCUGGCGGCGUGCCUAAUACAUGCAAGUCGAGCGGACAGACGAGGAGCUUGCUCCUCUGACGUUAGCGGCGGACGGGUGAGUAACACGUGGAUAACCUACCUAUAAGACUGGGAUAAUUUCGGGAAACCGGAGAUAAUACCGGAUAAUAUAUUGAACCGCAUGGUUCAAUAGUGAAAGACGGUUUUGCUGUCACUUAUAGCUGGAUCCGCGCCGCAUUAGCUAGUUGGUAAGGUAAAGGCUUACCAAGGCAACGAUGCGUAGCCGACCUGAGAGGGUGAUCGGCCACACUGGAACUGAGACACGGUCCAGACUCCUACGGGAGGCAGCAGUAGGGAAUCUUCCGCAAUGGGCGCAAGCCUGACGGAGCAACGCCGCGUGAGUGAUGAAGGUCUUCGGAUCGUAAAGCCCUGUUAUUAGGGAAGAACAAAUGUGUAAGUAACUAUGCACGUCUUGACGGUACCUAAUCAGAAAGCCCCGGCUAACUACGUG